RNAcentral lists this ribosomal RNA (490 nucleotides) under uncultured bacterium. RNAcentral's name for it is "partial 16S ribosomal RNA". It matches the Rfam family "Bacterial small subunit ribosomal RNA", at positions 30 to 507 of the family's 1533-position model. The record is from RNAcentral.
AUUGAACGCUGGCGGCAGGCCUAACACAUGCAAGUCGAACGGUAACAGGAAGAAGCUUGCUUCUUUGCUGACGAGUGGCGGACGGGUGAGUAAUGUCUGGGAAACUGCCUGAUGGAGGGGGAUAACUACUGGAAACGGUAGCUAAUACCGCAUAACGUCGCAAGACCAAAGAGGGGGACCUUCGGGCCUCUUGCCAUCGGAUGUGCCCAGAUGGGAUUAGCUAGUAGGUGGGGUAACGGCUCACCUAGGCGACGAUCCCUAGCUGGUCUGAGAGGAUGACCAGCCACACUGGAACUGAGACACGGUCCAGACUCCUACGGGAGGCAGCAGUGGGGAAUAUUGCACAAUGGGCGCAAGCCUGAUGCAGCCAUGCCGCGUGUAUGAAGAAGGCCUUCGGGUUGUAAAGUACUUUCAGCGGGGAGGAAGGGAGUAAAGUUAAUACCUUUACUCAUUGACGUUACCCGCAGAAGAAGCACCGGCUAACUCCAUG